RNAcentral lists this ribosomal RNA (503 nucleotides) under uncultured Glomus. RNAcentral describes it as "SSU rRNA". It matches the Rfam family "Eukaryotic small subunit ribosomal RNA", at positions 569 to 1074 of the family's 1831-position model. Lineage: Eukaryota; Fungi; Glomeromycota; Glomeromycetes; Glomerales; Glomeraceae. The record is from RNAcentral.
AGCAGCCGCGGUAAUUCCAGCUCCAAUAGCGUAUAUUAAAGUUGUUGCAGUUAAAAAGCUCGUAGUUGAAUUUCGAGAUCAGUACGCUGGUCGUGCCUCCGGUAUGCACUGGUGUCACUGGUUUCUCCCUUCUGAAGAACCGUCAUGCCAUUCAGUUGGUGUGGCGGGGAAUCAGGACUGUUACUUUGAAAAAAUUAGAGUGUUUAAAGCAGGCUCGCGCUUGAAUACAUUAGCAUGGAAUAAUGAAAUAGGACGUUUGACCCUAUUUUGUUGGUUUCUAGGAUCGACGUAAUGAUUAAUAGGGAUAGUUGGGGGCAUUAGUAUUCAAUUGUCAGAGGUGAAAUUCUUGGAUUUAUUGAAGACUAACUACUGCGAAAGCAUUUGCCAAGGAUGUUUUCAUUAAUCAAGAACGAAAGUUAGGGGAUCGAAGACGAUCAGAUACCGUCGUAGUCUUAACCAUAAACUAUGCCGACUAGGGAUCGGAUGAUGUUAAUUUUUAAUGA